Fukomys damarensis (Damara mole-rat) is the source of this 561-nucleotide non-coding RNA. The record is from the annotation of a RefSeq genome assembly. NCBI's taxonomy places the organism in Eukaryota, Metazoa, Chordata, Mammalia, Rodentia, Bathyergidae.
UCACAGGAGCCUUCAUACAGCAUGGAGUCCUUGGUGCUGCUCCUCUGCCUGGUGGCGGCUCCCUGCUGUGUCCUGUCCCAGGUGCAGCUGCAGGAGUCAGGACCUGGCCUGGUGAAGCCUUCAGAGACCCUGUCCCUCACCUGCACAGUCUCUGGAUUCUCUUUAACUAGUUAUGGUGUAAGCUGGGUCCGUCAGCCUCCAGGGAAGGGACUGGAGUGGAUCGGUGUGAUAUGGGGUAAUGGAAAUACAGAGUAUAACUCAGCCCUUCAAUCUCGAGUGAGCAUCGGCAGGGACACUUCCAAGAGCCAAGUCUCACUGUCAUUGAGAAGCCUGAGAUCUGAGGACACAGCCGUGUAUUACUGUGCAAGAGACACAGUGAUGGGAAAUCAGUGUGAGCCCAGACGCAAACCUCCCUGCAGGGGCUCCCAGGAGACAGGGGGCAGGCAGGACACACUGAGCUCUUGUUGGGCCCAGGACCAGGUGCAGGAUCCUGGGUCUGCGUUGCUGUUAAGAGUCUGUGGUUUUCUCUUCCUGUCCCCAACUUUGCUAAAGACUCUCUAG